Molecule: long non-coding RNA, 496 nt
Filed under: Capsella rubella
Lineage: Eukaryota; Viridiplantae; Streptophyta; Magnoliopsida; Brassicales; Brassicaceae
Description: long non-coding RNA (CRUB_LNC004506)
Source: RNAcentral
UACUAUCUAAAAAGGAGUUUCACGGACAUAAAAAGCCCAGAAAAACUGAGCGGUAACAAUAGGCAAUUUUUUCAAAAGGCAAAUUUUUAAUUAACAUUGUGUACAAGUGUAAUAAACAAAGGCUAGUGGGUGCAUUAAUAUCAAAUAAAACCACUGGAAAUAUUAUUAGUAAGAAUUUUUUUUUUUUUUUUUUUUUUUUUUUUUUUAGAUUUUAAUGAGGGUGUACAAACAAAGUUUGAGCAAAAAAAGCUUGUAAGAAAACUUUGAAGAACGCUUGAAUAAUUAAAUUACUAGAGGGGAUGUCAACUAUAGAGGUAAAAACAAAUCAUUUUGGAAAAUAUAUGUGGUAAAAAGUUAUGUUAUGUUUCUAAACAAGAAAAGAGGGACGUAUCUGUAAUAAAAGGAAAUGUGGACAUACAUGUAACUUUAAAAACUAUUAUGAAAAAUCGAUAAAUAUAUGAGACUUUAAGGAAAAGCUAACAAUAAAUAAAAGUGC